Molecule: long non-coding RNA, 399 nt
Filed under: Mustela putorius furo (domestic ferret)
Lineage: Eukaryota; Metazoa; Chordata; Mammalia; Carnivora; Mustelidae
Description: lncRNA (ENSMPUG00000025881.1)
Source: RNAcentral
CUUCCACAUCUUACAGGAAGGGUGGGAUGAAUGGGAGACUUCUGAUUUGCUUCUUCUCUGAUAAGAGGGUUAAAAUUUGGAGGAUGCGAGACUAGCUUCUGUUUCGCAGAAGGUUAGAGAACAGAAGAAUCUUGAUAGGAAGUGUCAAAUAAUGGCAGUGGGAAGGGAGGACGAUAUGGGCCUGGGGCCUGAGGAGGAAAGUAAGAGGGUGACAGGGGACUGCCCCAGACUGAGGACUGACCUGGGGCUUUAAUGUGGCAGGAGGGUGUGGGUUCCCAGACUUACCCACUCAGAGCCUGGAAAGUGUCCAUCUUUAACUCUGCCUCAGCUUGGAGCUGCCAGCACAGUCUUGGAGCUGAAGGAGCCCUCUUUCUGUCCUGGAGACUGGCAUAUCCUUGA